This 373-nucleotide ribosomal RNA is filed under the name uncultured bacterium. RNAcentral describes it as "bacterial SSU rRNA". It matches the Rfam family "Bacterial small subunit ribosomal RNA", at positions 28 to 402 of the family's 1533-position model. The record is from RNAcentral.
GACGAACGCUGGCGGCGUGCUUAACACAUGCAAGUCGAGCGGUAAGGCCCUUUCGGGGGUACACGAGCGGCGAACGGGUGAGUAACACGUGGGUGACCUGCCCUUAGCUCUGGGAUAAGCCUGGGAAACUGGGUCUAAUACCGGAUAUGACUCCAUAACGCAUGUUGUGGGGUGGAAAGCCUUGUGCGGCUAGGGAUGGGCCCGCGGCCUAUCAGCUUGUUGGUGGGGUGAUGGCCACCAAGGCGACGACGGGUAGCCGGCCUGAGAGGGCGACCGGCCACACUGGGGACUGAGACACGGCCCAGACUCCUACGGGAGGCAGCAGUGGGGAAUCUUGCGCAAUGGGCGAAAGCCUGACGCAGCGACGCCGCGU